GUAGGGCUGUAGCUUGGAGAGGUAGGGCUAUAGCUCGGUGAGGUUGGAGAAUAAGAGGGACUUGUAGGUGAGUAGGCUGGACUUGUUGGGCUGUAACCUGGUGAACUAGGACUGUAAGUAGGUGAUGUGGGGCUGUAACCAGGCGAGGUAGGACUGUAGCCAGGAGAUGUAGGGCUGUAACCAGGCGAGGUAGGACUGUAGCCAGGAGAUGAAGGACUGUAGCCAGGAGAUGAUGGGCUGUAACCAGGGGAUGACGUGGGAGAGAAUGCCAUCCCACCAACAUAAGGUGAGAACUGAGCAUCCGAAAUGGGAGAGAGACGGAGAUUUGGGCUCAGCAAGUAACUUGGAGACAUCAUGCCUUCAUGAUAUGGAGUUCCUGAUACUGGAGAUCGA
RNAcentral lists this long non-coding RNA (393 nucleotides) under Gossypium barbadense (sea-island cotton). Its description in RNAcentral is "long non-coding RNA (GBAR_LNC014612)". Lineage: Eukaryota; Viridiplantae; Streptophyta; Magnoliopsida; Malvales; Malvaceae. The record is from RNAcentral.